GAUGAACGCUGGCGGCGUGCCUAAUACAUGCAAGUCGAGCGAACGGACGAGAAGCUUGCUUCUCUGAUGUUAGCGGCGGACGGGUGAGUAACACGUGGAUAACCUACCUAUAAGACUGGGAUAACUUCGGGAAACCGGAGCUAAUACCGGAUAAUAUUUUGAACCGCAUGGUUCAAAAGUGAAAGACGGUCUUGCUGUCACUUAUAGAUGGAUCCGCGCUGCAUUAGCUAGCUGGUAAGGUAACGGCUUACCAAGGCAACGAUGCAUAGCCGACCUGAGAGGGUGAUCGGCCACACUGGAACUGAGACACGGUCCAGACUCCUACGGGAGGCAGCAGUAGGGAAUCUUCCGCAAUGGGCGAAAGCCUGACGGAGCAACGCCGCGUGAGUGAUGAAGGUCUUCGGAUCGUAAAACUCUGUUAUUAGGGAAGAUCAUAUGUGUAAGUAACUGUGCACAUCUUGACAGUACCUAAUCAGAAAGCCACGGCUAACUACGUG
Molecule: ribosomal RNA, 497 nt
Filed under: uncultured bacterium
Lineage: Bacteria
Description: partial 16S ribosomal RNA
Rfam family: Bacterial small subunit ribosomal RNA
Source: RNAcentral